GACGUAGGGCGCGAGCGUUGUCCGGAUUUAUUGGGCGUAAAGAGCUCGUAGGCGGCUUGUCGCGUCGUCCGUGAAAACUUGGGGCUCAACCCCGAGCUUGCGGUCGAUACGGGCAGGCUAGAGUUCGGUAGGGGAGACUGGAAUUCCUGGUGUAGCGGUGAAAUGCGCAGAUAUCAGGAGGAACACCGGUGGCGAAGGCGGGUCUCUGGACCGAUACUGACGCUGAGGAGCGAAAGCGUGGGGAGCGAACAGG
This 253-nucleotide ribosomal RNA is filed under the name uncultured bacterium. Its description in RNAcentral is "partial 16S ribosomal RNA". It matches the Rfam family "Bacterial small subunit ribosomal RNA", at positions 524 to 776 of the family's 1533-position model. The record is from RNAcentral.